CAGCAUAUCAAUAAGCGGAGGAAAAGAAACCAACAGGGAUUGCCCCAGUAACGGCGAGUGAAGCGGCAACAGCUCAAAUUUGAAAUCUGGCCCCAGGCCCGAGUUGUAAUUUGCAGAGGAUGCUUUUGGCGCGGUGCCUUCUAAGUUCCCUGGAACGGGACGCCAUAGAGGGUGAGAGACCCGUACGGUUGGACACCAAGCCUUUGUAAAGCUCCUUCGACGAGUCGAGUAGUUUGGGAAUGCUGCUCUAAAUGGGAGGUAUAUUUCUUCUAAAGCUAAAUACCGGCCAGAGACCGAUAGCGCACAAGUAGAGUGAUCGAAAGAUGAAAAGCACUUUGAAAAGAGGGUUAAACAGCACGUGAAAUUGUUAAAAGGGAAGCGCUUGUGACCAGACUUGCGCCCGGUGAAUCACCCAGCUCUCGCGGCUGGGGCACUUUGCCGGCUCAGGCCAGCAUCAGCUUGCCGUCGGGGACAAAAGCUUCGGGAACGUAGCUCUCUUCGGGGAGUGUUAUAGCCUGUUGCAUAAUACCCUUCGGCGGGCUGAGGUACGCGCUCCGCAAGGAUGCUGGCAUAAUGGUCAUCAGCGACCCGUCUUGAAACACGGACCAAGGAGUCAACCUUAUGUGCGAGUGUUUGGGUGUUAAACCCCUACGCGUAAUGAAAGUGAACGCAGGUGAGAGCUUCGGCGCAUCAUCGACCGAUCCUGAUGUUCUCGGAUGGAUUUGAGUAAGAGCAUAUAGGGUUGGACCCGAAAGAAGGUGAACUAUGCGUGUAUAGGGUGAAGCCAGAGGAAACUCUGGUGGAGGCUCGCAGCGGUUCUGACGUGCAAAUCGAUCGUCAAAUAUGCGCAUGGGGGGCGAAAGACUAAUCGAACCUUCUAGUAGCUGGUUCCCCA
This 895-nucleotide ribosomal RNA is filed under the name Colletotrichum vietnamense. Its description in RNAcentral is "LSU rRNA". It matches the Rfam family "Eukaryotic large subunit ribosomal RNA", at positions 36 to 961 of the family's 3401-position model. Lineage: Eukaryota; Fungi; Ascomycota; Sordariomycetes; Glomerellales; Glomerellaceae. The record is from RNAcentral.